Molecule: transfer-messenger RNA, 358 nt
Filed under: Oscillospiraceae
Lineage: Bacteria; Bacillati; Bacillota; Clostridia; Eubacteriales
Also listed under: 1 other name
Description: Ruminococcus_D sp900539835 Standard tmRNA
Rfam family: transfer-messenger RNA
About the family: Bacterial tmRNA, also known as 10Sa RNA or SsrA, is named for its dual tRNA and mRNA-like properties.
Source: RNAcentral
GGGGGCGUAAAGGUUUCGACGGGGAUUUUGAAGCAUGAUAAGCGAGUAGAGGAGCGCACUCUCUUAAAACGGCGUACGUUUUAAAAUUAGACGACAAAGAUAAUUUUGAAUUAGCAGCUGCUUAAUAGCUGCUCGUCUUCCCUUUGAGUACCACGGCUUAGGGUUAGGCGCCGAUUAGUGGUGAACGUUGACAGGUGACGGCUGUAGCCUGUUGAUGUAUUACGGUCUACUGAAUGCAGGGGCGUGUUUGUUUGCCUUUGCAUGAGGGAAUGGGUUUUACCGCAAUAACAAAAUACACUCGUAGAAAUUCAUGGGGAUAGGUUUUCGGACAGGAGUUCGACUCUCCUCGCCUCCACCA